RNAcentral lists this ribosomal RNA (484 nucleotides) under uncultured bacterium. RNAcentral describes it as "partial 16S ribosomal RNA". It matches the Rfam family "Bacterial small subunit ribosomal RNA", at positions 30 to 507 of the family's 1533-position model. The record is from RNAcentral.
AUUGAACGCUGGCGGAAUGCUUUACACAUGCAAGUCGAGCGGCAGCGCGGCCUUCGGGCUGGCGGCGAGCGGCGAACGGGUGAGUAAUGCAUCGGGACAUGCCCAGUCGUGGGGGAUAACACUUCGAAAGAAGUGCUAAUACCGCAUACGUCCUGAGGGGGAAAGCGGGGGAUCGCAAGACCUCGCGCGAUUGGAGUGGCCGAUGUCAGAUUAGCUAGUUGGUGGGGUAAAGGCCUACCAAGGCGACGAUCUGUAGCUGGUCUGAGAGGAUGAUCAGCCACACUGGGACUGAGACACGGCCCAGACUCCUACGGGAGGUAGCAGUGGGGAAUUUUGGACAAUGGGGGCAACCCUGAUCCAGCCAUUCCGCGUGAGUGAAGAAGGCCUUCGGGUUGUAAAGCUCUUUCGGCAGGAACGAAACGGUGGGCUCUAACAUAGUCCGCUAAUGACGGUACCUGAAGAAGAAGCACCGGCUAACUACGUG